RNAcentral lists this ribosomal RNA (156 nucleotides) under Brassica napus (rape). Its description in RNAcentral is "rRNA 5_8S_rRNA". It matches the Rfam family "5.8S ribosomal RNA". From Rfam's summary of the family: 5.8S ribosomal RNA (5.8S rRNA) is a component of the large subunit of the eukaryotic ribosome. It is transcribed by RNA polymerase I as part of the 45S precursor that also contains 18S and 28S rRNA. The record is from RNAcentral. Lineage: Eukaryota; Viridiplantae; Streptophyta; Magnoliopsida; Brassicales; Brassicaceae.
GACUCUCGGCAAUGGAUAUCUCGCCUCUCGCAUCGAUGAAGAAUGUAGCAAAAUGCGAUACUUGGUGUGAAUUGCAGAAUCCCGUGAACCAUCGAGUCUUUGAACGCAAGUUGUGCCCCAAGCCUUCUGGCCGAGGGCAUGUCUGCCUGGGUGUCA